UGGACUCAUCCACUGAAGCACAGGAAGUGCUCAGGAUCAGGGACGAUCGACCUUGCAAGGAAAGCUAUCGACAGGGAGUCGUAAUGGUCUUGGAAAAACCCGCUUCGGCGGGUUUUUUU
This 119-nucleotide small RNA is filed under the name Pseudomonas ogarae. The record is from RNAcentral. Lineage: Bacteria; Pseudomonadati; Pseudomonadota; Gammaproteobacteria; Pseudomonadales; Pseudomonadaceae.